RNAcentral lists this small RNA (175 nucleotides) under Numida meleagris (helmeted guineafowl). Its description in RNAcentral is "TUC338 (ENSNMEG00000019003.1)". Lineage: Eukaryota; Metazoa; Chordata; Aves; Galliformes; Numididae. The record is from RNAcentral.
CUGGUAAGAAUGAGAAGCCUAAGUCAUCAUUAAUCCACAGGCAAAGUGCUAUUCAAGCAGCUGUAGUGAAAGCUCUCGUAUGCUGCCCUGGAAAUAACCCCAGCCUUGACGUGGUAAAAUGACCCUAGGUAAGGUCAGAAGAUCAGUUCUCAUUUUCAUUUAAGCUUCUGGUUUU